RNAcentral lists this ribosomal RNA (253 nucleotides) under uncultured bacterium. RNAcentral's name for it is "partial 16S ribosomal RNA". It matches the Rfam family "Bacterial small subunit ribosomal RNA", at positions 524 to 776 of the family's 1533-position model. The record is from RNAcentral.
UACGUAGGGCGCAAGCGUUAUCCGGAAUUAUUGGGCGUAAAGAGCUCGUAGGCGGUUUGUCGCGUCUGCCGUGAAAGUCCGGGGCUUAACUCUGGAUCUGCGGUGGGUACGGGCAGACUUGAGUGAUGUAGGGGAGACUGGAAUUCCUGGUGUAGCGGUGAAAUGCGCAGAUAUCAGGAGGAACACCGAUGGCGAAGGCAGGUCUCUGGGCAUUAACUGACGCUGAGGAGCGAAAGCAUGGGGAGCGAACAGG